UAAGGAAUAUUGGUCAAUGGAGGCAACUCUGAACCAGCCAUGCCGCGUGCAGGAAGACAGCCCUCUGGGUCGUAAACUGCUUUUAUUCGGGAAUAAACCUACUUACGUGUAAGUAGCUGAAUGUACCGAAGGAAUAAGGAUCGGCUAACUCCGUGCCAGCAGCCGCGGUAAUACGGAGGAUCCAAGCGUUAUCCGGAUUUAUUGGGUUUAAAGGGUGCGUAGGCGGCCUGUUAAGUCAGGGGUGAAAGACGGUAGCUCAACUAUCGCAGUGCCCUUGAUACUGAUGGGCUUGAAUACACUAGAGGUAGGCGGAAUGUGACAAGUAGCGGUGAAAUGCAUAGAUAUGUCACAGAACACCGAUUGCGAAGGCAGCUUACUAUGGUGU
RNAcentral lists this ribosomal RNA (385 nucleotides) under uncultured bacterium. RNAcentral describes it as "bacterial SSU rRNA". It matches the Rfam family "Bacterial small subunit ribosomal RNA", at positions 355 to 737 of the family's 1533-position model. The record is from RNAcentral.